This 279-nucleotide ribosomal RNA is filed under the name uncultured Staphylococcus sp. Its description in RNAcentral is "partial 16S ribosomal RNA". It matches the Rfam family "Bacterial small subunit ribosomal RNA", at positions 83 to 354 of the family's 1533-position model. The record is from RNAcentral. Lineage: Bacteria; Bacillati; Bacillota; Bacilli; Caryophanales; Staphylococcaceae.
CCUUUGACGUUAGCGGCGGACGGGUGAGUAACACGUGGGUAACCUACCUAUAAGACUGGGAUAACUUCGGGAAACCGGAGCUAAUACCGGAUAAUAUUUCGAACCGCAUGGUUCGAUAGUGAAAGGUGGUUUUGCUAUCACUUAUAGAUGGACCCGCGCCGUAUUAGCUAGUUGGUAAGGUAACGGCUUACCAAGGCGACGAUACGUAGCCGACCUGAGAGGGUGAUCGGCCACACUGGAACUGAGACACGGUCCAGACUCCUACGGGAGGCAGCAGGU